RNAcentral lists this transfer RNA (103 nucleotides) under Xylaria castorea. RNAcentral describes it as "tRNA-Leu". It matches the Rfam family "tRNA". From Rfam's summary of the family: Transfer RNA (tRNA) molecules are approximately 80 nucleotides in length. Their secondary structure includes four short double-helical elements and three loops (D, anti-codon, and T loops). Lineage: Eukaryota; Fungi; Ascomycota; Sordariomycetes; Xylariales; Xylariaceae. The record is from RNAcentral.
GGGAGUUUGGCCGAGUGGUUAAGGCGCUGUGUUUAGGUUAUCCGUAACAGGUACUUGAAUCCCGCAGUGGGAAACCGCGCAGGUUCGAAUCCUGCAGCUCUCA